AUUGAACGCUGGCGGCAGGCCUAACACAUGCAAGUCGAGCGGAUGAAGGGAGCUUUCUCCUGGAUUCAGCGGCGGACGGGUGAGUAAUGCCUAGGAAUCUGCCUGGUAGUGGGGGAUAACGUCCGGAAACGGGCGCUAAUACCGCAUACGUCCUGAGGGAGAAAGUGGGGGAUCUUCGGACCUCACGCUAUCAGAUGAGCCUAGGUCGGAUUAGCUAGUUGGUGGGGUAAAGGCCUACCAAGGCGACGAUCCGUAACUGGUCUGAGAGGAUGAUCAGUCACACUGGAACUGAGACACGGUCCAGACUCCUAAGGGAGGCAGCAGUGGGGAAUAUUGGACAAUGGGCGAAAGCCUGAUCCAGCCAUGCCGCGUGUGUGAAGAAGGUCUUCGGAUUGUAAAGAACUUUAAGUGGGGAGGAAGGGCAGUAAGUUAAUACCUUGCUGUUUUGACGUUACCAACAGAAUAAGCACCGGCUAACUUCGUG
Molecule: ribosomal RNA, 484 nt
Filed under: uncultured bacterium
Lineage: Bacteria
Description: partial 16S ribosomal RNA
Rfam family: Bacterial small subunit ribosomal RNA
Source: RNAcentral